AUGAUUGGCAUCCAGAAGAAAGGCAUUCCAAGACCUGUCUCAAUAUAUAAAGCCCUUAUGGAUAAUAGGGAUGACAUUUCACCAACUCAGAAGUCUGCAAAGAUAGAAAGUUCAAGACCUCAGCUUUGGUCACAGAGUUAUUGCGUCACCGCUGUAUCUGAGAGUCCCUCUAGACUGAAGUUAAGCGAUGCAUUUUGCUGAAAGCAAGCCUUGGCGUGCAAGACCACCUUCAAGGGUUCGUGGCUCCAGCUGGGAAGAGAGCAAGAACUAGUAGUAUUGAGCACGUGCUGCAGACACGGGGCUGGCAUCGCUCACAGCAUCUCUCCUCGAAGCAAGGAGACCACCCGCGUGGCCCACGGCAGGAUUCUCGGCAUAAUUUUUUUUUCAGUAUUCGGAACAAUUGUGUCUAGAAGACUAUAAACGCACUUGUUGAUUUAUUGUUUUUUAUAUUGUCCAUCUUACUCUACCUCCUUCCCCGGCUAGAAUAGAUUUAUCUCCUUCUGUCUUCCUUUUCCCCCCUUUUUUUUCUUUCCACCACCAGAUUCCCAGGACCUAGAAGAGUGCUGGUGAGCCAGAGCGGGCACUCAGAUAUGUGGAAUGAUUAGGUGAUUUUACCUUAGGGUUUUCUUUUCAUGUCCCUGCAAAGACUCUACCCUAGCAGGUCUUGUGUUUGAUUCCUGAGAACAAAAUGGCCAUUUUGAGCAUUUGCAUGUGAAGAUCGCAUUCUUCUCUGCUGUAAAUAAAACUCAAACAUUUCUCCCAAGUGACCCGGCUUCACAGGUGUACAUCCUGAGAACCAGAAACAUCUGGGUGAAGGAGGCGGCGGGGGGUGGGGGGGACCUGCAAUGUUCCAACCCCACAAAAUGCUUUUCAAAAGACAAAACGCGAGAAAGCUUUAGGGACAGCCAAAGCCUUUUGCAAAAAGGGCUCCCUUGGGGAAGGAGGGAAAAAUUCGCAACAGAGGUUUCCCUGGGGCUGGAAGUGUAACUGGUCUCAAGAGUCGUCUGACCCAACAGCACUGCUUGAGGGAGUGUGGGUUCCAAGCUCAGCUUCGGCCAGACCCAGGAUUUCUCCUACCCAGUUCUGGGGACAAACCAGAUGGAAAUGGAAGCUGUUGGAGAUCCGAAGUGCAAGGGAAAGUACAUGUGGCUUACAAGGGAAGGACUCAUUUCUAUUUAUUUCUUAACACAAGGCUGUUCUUUAGUUGGCAUUCCCUGCAUUCUUGCAUAAUCGUGUUUCAUUUACUUAUGUGUGGGUGUUACUAGCAACUGUACACUCUUUCCUUCAAUAAAUAAGGCAAGUGGGACCUCGCCAUUAGAAAAUAUAUUGAUUUGCCUUUGUUUUUUUAACUUGUGGGAUAAAGUAAUUAGCCUGUUGGUUUCAAGAUACCGACCUAAAUAAAUGUUAAAAACUCUGAGCAGUAAAUAUUUCUGAAAUUUCAGCACAGGAUAUCUGAUGCACUUUGCAGGGGGGAGGGCGGGCAGGGUAUUUUCUCCUCUUCCAUUUGAGUUUGACCUUCUUGCCUACCAGAGUUAUGAAAAUCAGAAAAGAAUUAUUUCUCCCAUCCUGGUUCUUUUCUGAAGAGCUCAUCUUGAAAGAGUAACGCCAAGGUCAGCAGGGGCUUCUCCAAGUGGCAGGUGUUUUUCUCUUAUCGAAGGAGAUAAAGGGUAAGAGUAGGAGAGCAUCUGGUCUUCCCGCUGGGACACAAGAUGCAAGGAGGAAAGUCUCUUUGGUCCUUUAUUAAUAUUCUAUUAAUAUGUAUCACACGAAUGGCAAAUGAUGGACACUCAUAAAAAUUAGCUGAAUUUGAACUUUAAGUGAGGGAAAUAUUAGGGAGAUAAGAGAUGGAUUUAAAGAGGAUAAAGUAAAGUAUUCCUUUGCUUAAUAGCUAUUGAGCUCCUAAUAUGCAGCAGGCACUGCCCAGAUUCCAGAGUUAAAACCACAAAGAAGAGAAGUUCUCUUCCCUAAAGUCCAAGGGUGGAUGGACAGUUAAAGCAAACUCAGUGCUAUGACGGAUGCGAACGCAUGAGAGAAGAUGGGAGGAACAUCUAAGUGUUACAAGGAGGUCACAGAAGGCCUCAUGGAAAAAGUGACGAAUAGGAGUUAACCUGCCAAGAGGAAAAGAACAGGGAAAACAUGUGCAAAAGUCCAGAGGAAGACACAGCAAACAACCUGAUAGAACUACAAAUAGUUCCCUGUAGUUGAAGGGUAAGUUGGGGGUGGCCGUGGCAAGUCACUGUGGGAGAGAACAGACCAUGAAAAAGACAGGAGGAAGUCAACGGAGAAUUUUAAGUAGGAGCGACGGGAGGGACGUGAUUAAAGAUUCAGGAAGAUCACUAUGGAUGGAAAAUGUGGUUGGACGGAAGACAAGGGAAGAGUCUUCCAGCAGAGAAGGGAGUGGUGCACAGGGUCAAAUGUUCAGAGGUCAGGUCAGAUAAGAAAUGAGCACUUGUUCGUGAGAUUCGGAGAUAUGGGGAUAGUUUAUGACCUGGGUGAGAGCAGUUUCUGAGGAGAGGUGUGGGCAGAAACAGAUUGCAGUCGAUUGAGAGGAAAGGG
This 2556-nucleotide long non-coding RNA is filed under the name Canis lupus familiaris (dog). Its description in RNAcentral is "lncRNA (ENSCAFG00040014137.1)". The record is from RNAcentral. Lineage: Eukaryota; Metazoa; Chordata; Mammalia; Carnivora; Canidae.